UAAAGUCUUGGUCCUGAACCUAUUAUUACCUGUGACUUAAUCUAUACAUGCAAGUCUCUACACAACGGUGAAAUCCCCUAUAACACAAAUAGAACCGGCAUCAGACUCUCAACCACAACGCCAAGCAUACGCCACACCCACACGGGCAUACAGCAGUAAUUAACAUUGGGCUAUAAGUGAAAACUUGACCCAGAAACAAUCACAUAGGGCCGGUUAAUUUCGUGCCAGCGACCGCGGUUAUACGAUAGACCCAAGAUAAUACAUAACGGCGUAAAGCACGACCAGAAUAAGUCUUACCACUAAGGAUUAAAAUAGAACCUAGCUGUAAAACGCCAAGGCAAAACUAAAUACCUUAUCCCUAAUCACAAGACCUUUUUAACUCGUGAAAACCGGGGCACAAACUAGGAUUAGAUACCCUACUAUGCCCGAACGUAACACGACACACCACCGUCCGCCAAAUAACUACGAGUACAAACUUAAAAUUUAAAGGACUUGACGGUAUUUCACACUCAACCUAGAGGAGCCUGUCUACUAACCGAUAACCCACGAUUAACCCAACCGCUUCUAGCCCCCAGCCUAUAUACCACCGUCGCCAGCCUACCUUAUAAAAGAAACAAAGUGAGCUAAACAGUAAUACACUAAAACGACAGGUCAAGGUGUAGCUAAUGAAUCGGAUUAGGAUGGGCUACAUUUUCUAACCCAGACUAUACGAACCAGGCCAUGAAACAAGCCUUCGAAGGCGGAUUUAGUAGUAAGCCGAGAACAUAAUACUCAACUGAAACCAAUGCAAUGAAAUGCGUACACACCGCCCGUCAUCCCUGUUUACAUACCUAACCAAAAACAUAUAAAACCCAAACCUAAUCUGAAACAGGGCAAGUCGUAACAUGGUAAGCGUACUGGAAAGUGCGCUUAGAAA
RNAcentral lists this non-coding RNA (916 nucleotides) under Rhinophis philippinus. The record is from RNAcentral. Lineage: Eukaryota; Metazoa; Chordata; Lepidosauria; Squamata; Uropeltidae.